CUGAGACCUGAUGCCGAGCCGAUUGUGGUGAAGUGGAUGAUCCUAUGCUGUCGAGAAAAGCCUCUAGCGAGUUUCAUGGCGGCCCGUACCCUAAACCGACUCAGGUGGUCAGGUAGAGAAUACCGAGGCGUUCGGGUGAACUAUGGUUAAGGAACUCGGCAAAAUGCCCCCGUAACUUCGGGAGAAGGGGGGCCAUCACCGGUGAUGAGUCUUGCACUCUGAGCUGGGGGUGGCCGCAGAGACCAGCGAGAAGCGACUGUUUACUAAAAACACAGGUCCGUGCGAAGCCGUAAGGCGAUGUAUACGGACUGACGCCUGCCCGGUGCUGGAACGUUAAGGGGACCGGUUAGUCACUCUUCGGGGUGGCGAAGCUGAGAACUUAAGCGCCAGUAAACGGCGGUGGUAACUAUAACCAUCCUAAGGUAGCGAAAUUCCUUGUCGGGUAAGUUCCGACCUGCACGAAUGGCGUAACGACUUCUCGACUGUCUCAACCAUAGGCCCGGUGAAAUUGCACUACGAGUAAAGAUGCUCGUUUCGCGCAGCAGGACGGAAAGACCCCGGGACCUUUACUACAGUUUGAUAUUGGUGUUCGGUUCGGCUUGUGUAGGAUAGGUGGGAGACUUUGAAGCGGCAGCGCCAGCUGUUGUGGAGUCGUCGUUGAAAUACCACUCUGGUCGUGCUGGAUGUCUAACCUGGGUCCGUGAUCCGGAUCAGGGACAGUGUCUGAUGGGUAGUUUAACUGGGGCGGUUGCCUCCUAAAGAGUAACGGAGGCGCCCAAAGGUUCCCUCAGCCUGGUUGGUAAUCAGGUGUUGAGUGUAAGUGCACAAGGGAGCUUGACUGUGAGACCGACGGGUCGAGCAGGGACGAAAGUCGGGACUAGUGAUCCGGCGGUGGCUUGUGGAAGCGCCGUCGCUCAACGGAUAAAAGGUACCCCGGGGAUAACAGGCUGAUCUUCCCCAAGAGUCCAUAUCGACGGGAUGGUUUGGCACCUCGAUGUCGGCUCGUCGCAUCCUGGGGCUGGAGUCGGUCCCAAGGGUUGGGCUGUUCGCCCAUUAAAGCGGUACGCGAGCUGGGUUUAGAACGUCGUGAGACAGUUCGGUCCCUAUCCGCUGUGCGCGUAGGAGUCUUGAGAAGGGCUGUCCCUAGUACGAGAGGACCGGGACGGACGAACCUCUGGUGUGCCAGUUGUCCUGCCAAGGGCAUGGCUGGUUGGCUACGUUCGGGAGGGAUAACCGCUGAAAGCAUCUAAGCGGGAAGCCUGCUUCGAGAUGAGGACUCCCACCCCCUUGAGGGGUUAAGGCUCCCAGUAGACGACUGGGUUGAUAGGCCGGAUCUGGAAGGCGGGUAACCGCUGGAGGUGACCGGUACUAAUAGGCCGAGGGCUUGUCCUC
This 1392-nucleotide ribosomal RNA is filed under the name Streptomyces mirabilis. RNAcentral's name for it is "bacterial LSU rRNA". It matches the Rfam family "Bacterial large subunit ribosomal RNA", at positions 1556 to 2925 of the family's 2925-position model. Lineage: Bacteria; Bacillati; Actinomycetota; Actinomycetes; Kitasatosporales; Streptomycetaceae. The record is from RNAcentral.